RNAcentral lists this ribosomal RNA (448 nucleotides) under uncultured bacterium. RNAcentral's name for it is "bacterial SSU rRNA". It matches the Rfam family "Bacterial small subunit ribosomal RNA", at positions 355 to 796 of the family's 1533-position model. The record is from RNAcentral.
UCGAGAAUCUUCCGCAAUAGGCGAAAGCCUGACGGAGCGACGCCGCGUGGAGGAUGAAGGCCUUCGGGUUGUAAACUCCUGUCACUCGUUAUGAAUGGCAGCGCGUUAAUAGCGCGUUGUUUGACAAAGGCGAGAGAGGAAGCACCGGCUAACCCUGUGCCAGCAGCCGCGGUAAGACAGGGGGUGCAAGCGUUGCUCGGAAUUACUGGGCGUAAAGCGCACGUAGGCGGUCCCGUAAGUCGGGUGUGAAAGCCCUCAGCCUAACUGAGGAACUGCGCCCGAUACUGCGGGGCUAGAGGACGGGAGGGGAGAGUGGAAUUCCUGGUGGAGCGGUGAAAUGCGUAGAUAUCAGGAGGAAUACCAGUGGCGAAGGCGACUCUCUGGUCCGUUCCUGACGCUGAGGUGCGAAAGCUAGGGGAGCAAACGGGAUUAGAUACCCCCGUAGUCC